This 1259-nucleotide ribosomal RNA is filed under the name Anarta trifolii. Its description in RNAcentral is "16S ribosomal RNA". The stretch from base 1013 to 1172 matches the Rfam family "Eukaryotic large subunit ribosomal RNA", at positions 2825 to 2984 of the family's 3401-position model. The record is from RNAcentral. Lineage: Eukaryota; Metazoa; Arthropoda; Insecta; Lepidoptera; Noctuidae.
GGGGGUUAAAGUAUUUUUAUUGAAAAAAUUAAAUAAUUUAUAGUGAAUUAGUAUUGUAAAAGAAUUUAGAAUUAAAUAAAAAAGAAAUUAAUUAUAAGUAAUUUUAAUUUAAUGUAUCUUGUGUAUCAGAGUUUAUUAAAAAAAAUUUUUAAUAAAAAAAUUCUCGAAUUUAAAAGAGAUAAUUAAUUAAUAAAGUUAUUGUGGCAUAAAUAUUUAAAAUAAUUAAUUUGAAAUGAAAUGUUAAUCGUUUUUAAAUAUAUCUAGUUUUUUUAGAAAAAAAUUUAAUUUUUUAUUAUAUUACAAAAAAAUUAAUUAAUUAAUUUUUUUUGUAAUAUAAUAUUAUAUUUUAAGGGAUAAGCUUUAAUUUAAAUUUAUAUAAAUAAUGAAUUAAAUUAAUUGAAAUUUAUAUAAUUUAUAUUGUUAAAAAAUUUUAAUUUAUUAUAAAUAAUUUCAUUUAAAAUAAAAUUUAAUAAAAUUUUAUAUUUUUAUAAAAAAAAAUUUUUAAAUAAAAAAAAAAUUGAUAUAAUGAUAAAAUUAGUAUAUAAAUUUUAAAAAUUAUUAUUUUUAAAAUAAUUAAUUAAAAGGAAUUCGGCAAAAAUUUAUAUUCACUUGUUUAUCAAAAACAUGUCUUUUUGAAAAUAAUAUAAAGUCUAAUCUGCCCACUGAUUAAUAAUUAAAGGGCUGCAGUAAUUUGACUGUACAAAGGUAGCAUAAUCAUUAGUCAUUUAAUUGAUGACUUGUAUGAAAGAUUGGAUGAAAUAUAAACUGUCUCUUAAUUAUAUUUAGAAUUUAAUUUUUUAAUUAAAAAGUUAAAAUAAUUUAAAAAGACGAGAAGACCCUAUAGAGUUUUAUAAAUAAAAUUAAUUAAGAUUAUUUAUAAAUUUAAAAUUAAAAUUAAUUUAUUUAUUUUGUUGGGGUGACAGAAAAAUUAAAUGAACUUUUUUUAAAUUAAAACAUAUAUAAGUGAUUAUAUGAUCCAAUAUUAUUGAUUAUAAGAAAAAAUUACCUUAGGGAUAACAGCGUAAUUUUUUUUUUUAGUUCAUAUAAAAAAAAGAGUUUGCGACCUCGAUGUUGGAUUAAGAUAAAAUUUAAAUGCAGAAGUUUAAAAUUUUUGAUCUGUUCGAUCAUUAAAAUCUUACAUGAUCUGAGUUCAAACCGGUGUAAGCCAGGUUGGUUUCUAUCUUUUAAUAAAUAAAAUAUUUUAGUACGAAAGGAUUAAAUAUUUAAAUUAAAUUUAUAUUUUUGAAUUUUAUUAAAUU